CAGUGGCGUAUACUAACGUUGUUGUGGUUAAAAAGCUCGUAGUCUGAGAGUUGGUUUCACAUCUGGUUUUUAGAGCCCGGCGGCGUAUGCUGCUGUAGUGCACUGGCCGGAGGCCGUGUGUCUGUGUGUGGUGUGUCAUGUGCAAGCAUGUGUGCACCGAUGCGGACCAUUUACUGUGAAGAAAGCGGCGCGCUCCAAGCACCCAUCUCGGGUGAACAAAACAGCAUGGAAUAAUGGAAGAGGACUCGCGAGCCUUAUCCGUUGGUCUGUGGCGCGCGAGUAAUGAUUGAUAGGGGCGGUUGGGGGUGCCCGUAUUGCGCGGCCAGCGGUGGAAUGCUGUGAUUCGCGCAAGACGAACAACUGCGAAAGCACUCGCCAAGGACGUCUCCUUUGA
Molecule: ribosomal RNA, 394 nt
Filed under: uncultured eukaryote
Lineage: Eukaryota
Description: partial 18S ribosomal RNA
Rfam family: Eukaryotic small subunit ribosomal RNA
Source: RNAcentral